This 253-nucleotide ribosomal RNA is filed under the name uncultured bacterium. RNAcentral describes it as "partial 16S ribosomal RNA". It matches the Rfam family "Bacterial small subunit ribosomal RNA", at positions 524 to 776 of the family's 1533-position model. The record is from RNAcentral.
GACGGAGGAUGCAAGCGUUAUCCGGAAUUAUUGGGCGUAAAGCGUCCGCAGGUGGCUGUUCAAGUCUGCUGUCAAAGCGCAGAGCUUAACUCUGUACAGGCGGUGGAAACUGAAGAGCUAGAGUAUGGUAGGGGUAGAGGGAAUUCCCGGUGUAGCGGUGAAAUGCGUAGAUAUCAGGAGGAACACCGAUGGCGAAGGCAGGUCUCUGGGCCGCUACUGACGCUGAGAAGCGAAAGCAUGGGGAGCGAACAGG